AACGCACAUUGCGCCCCUUGGUAUUCCGGGGGGCACACCUGUUCGAGCGCCAUUUCGACCCUCAAGCAUAGCUUGGUGUUGGGCAUGGUCCAGGGGGACCUGCCCGUAACUCGUAGGCGGCCGCCGCCCGCGCCCCCAGCGUAGCAAGCUCACGCGUUCGCUCGGGGACGGCGCGUCUGGCCCGCCAGGCAAAAGCCUAACAACCUUUCCCAAGGUUUGGCCUCGGAUCAGGUGGGGAUACCCGCUGAACUUAA
Molecule: unclassified non-coding RNA, 254 nt
Filed under: uncultured fungus
Lineage: Eukaryota; Fungi
Description: partial contains 5.8S ribosomal RNA, internal transcribed spacer 2, and large subunit ribosomal RNA
Source: RNAcentral